Molecule: ribosomal RNA, 396 nt
Filed under: Theileria sp. OT3
Lineage: Eukaryota; Apicomplexa; Aconoidasida; Piroplasmida; Theileriidae
Description: SSU rRNA
Rfam family: Eukaryotic small subunit ribosomal RNA
Source: RNAcentral
UGGUAAUUGGGAUGAUGGGAAUUUAAACCUCUUCCAGAGUAUCUCUCUGGAGGGCAAGUCAGGUGCCAGCAGCCGCGGUAAUUCCUGCUCAUUUAGCGUAUAUUAAAAUUGUUGCAGUUAAAAAGCUCGUAGUUGAAUUUCUGCUGUAUUGCAUUUUCUCUUUUUAUAUGAGUUUUUGCAUUAUGGCUUAUUUCAGUAUUAAUUUUUUAUUAUUACUGAAUGUUUACUUUGAGAAAAUUAGAGUGCUCAAAGCAGGCUUUUGCCUUGAAUAGUUUAGCAUGGAAUAAUAAAGUAGGACUUUGGUUCUAUUUUGUUGGUUUUAGGUACCAAAGUAAUGGUUAAUAGGAACAGUUGGGGGCAUUCGUAUUUAACUGUCAGAAUGUGGAAUUCUUAGAA